UUCCAGACUCCUACGGGAGGCAGCAGUGGGGGAUAUUGCACAAUGGGGGGAACCCUGAUGCAGCGACGCCGCGUGGGUGAAGGAGUAUUUCGGUAUGUAAAGCCCUAUCGGCAGGGAAGAAGCAAGACGGUACCUGACUAAGAAGCCCCGGCUAACUACGUGCCAGCAGCCGCGGGAAUACGUAGGGGGCGAGCGUUAUCCGGAUUCACUGGGUGUAAAAGGAGCGUAGACGGCCAUGCAAGCCAGGGGUGAAAGCCCGGGGCCCAACCCCGGGACUGCCCUUGGAACUGCAUGGCUGGAGUGCGGGAGGGGCAGGCGGAAUUCCUGGUGUAGCGGUGAAAUGCGUAGAUAUCAGGAGGAACACCGGCGGCGAAGGCGGCCUGCUGGACCGCGACUGACGUUGAGGCUCGAAAGCGUGGGGAGCGAACAGGAUUAGAUACCCUCGUAC
Molecule: ribosomal RNA, 448 nt
Filed under: uncultured bacterium
Lineage: Bacteria
Description: bacterial SSU rRNA
Rfam family: Bacterial small subunit ribosomal RNA
Source: RNAcentral